Molecule: non-coding RNA, 1250 nt
Organism: Lactuca sativa (garden lettuce)
Lineage: Eukaryota; Viridiplantae; Streptophyta; Magnoliopsida; Asterales; Asteraceae
Source: RefSeq, a predicted model, not a curated record
CAACCGAGUUGAAUUUAUUCACUGUAAAUCAUUUCUACAUAGGGAUAUAAAGCCAGACAACUUCCUUAUGAGUUUAGGGAGGCGUGCUAAUCAGGUCUAUGCUAUUGAUUUCGGGCUAGCCAAGAAAUAUAGAGACUCUUCAACUCAUCGGCACAUUCCAUAUAGAGAGAACAAGAAUUUGACAGGGACAGCUAGAUAUGCAAGCAUGAACCCAAGCCUGAUGGAACAUAAGAGGAAGUUGGCAAAUUGAGAAAAAGAGAAUGCAUCAUCUGUACUUUAAGCUUCCUGCACCAAAGCGAGGCGAGAUUGUUAGACAGAUUGAUGAUCCACAAAGAACCAAGCUUCAGUACCUUGGUAGGCUUCUAUCACUUGAAAUGGAAAAAAUUCUUCCAAAAUGAAUAGGGGAAGUUCAAGUAUGUACUUAAUCACUUUUAGUUAUCAUCGCAUCUUAUUAAGUUGUAUCUUAUUAAAUAAAGUUUUUUCAUAGCAAGAAUUCAUUGUUAUGUGCAAAUUUGUUGUGGGCUUAAGCCGACAAUUUAACAGAUCGGUCAUACCUUCUGAACGUAAGAUCUAUUCCCAUUUCCUUUCAUAUUUCAAAAAUAAAGAAAAAUAACAUUACAACCUUAAUUGGUUACCUUCUAUCUUAUAAACUGUUAAAUGUUGUUGUGUACGAUGGAAUGCAUGCAUUGCUCUAGUAUGCGGAAAUGCUUUUAUUUGGUAAGUGAUACCUAAACCUUGAGAAAUGUCAAUUUUAUCCUUGAAAACCUUAAAGGAAAUAGUACAUUUCAAUAAUUGACUACUUUUGAGAGGUGGCUUCUCUCCCUCAUUUACCGUACAUUUCAUUUGAUGCCUACUACUGCACUUUUAAUAUAAGGGUAAAAAAAGGUUUAUAAAUCUCUUGUAGAGUUGUAUUUCAUGAGGAAAGAUUCAAGAAUGAAGAAAAGUAAGUAAUCUUAUGAUAUUGUGAUUGUCCCUUUUUCUGGAUCAGGUUUAAUUUGGAUUUCAAGCUCACCAGCAUCUCCAAGUAAUGAGGGAUCCGUUACACUUAAGAAUAUCAGCUUAUCAAGAGCAUCACUUGCAUUACUAAAAGAAGGUUUCUUGUUAGAACUUUUGUUUUUAAAAACGAUAAAAGAUGGAAAUCAAACAUGAAACAUGUAGACUGUAGAGAUGUUUUUACAUGUAAAUUUAUAUAUUGUAAGAAAUAGAAUUGUAAGACAUUAAAUUCUAUGAAAUGGAUUAUAUUUUUUGUA